Molecule: ribosomal RNA, 484 nt
Filed under: uncultured bacterium
Lineage: Bacteria
Description: partial 16S ribosomal RNA
Rfam family: Bacterial small subunit ribosomal RNA
Source: RNAcentral
GAUGAACGCUGGCGGCGUGCUUAACGCAUGCAAGUCGAACGAGAGAAGAUCGGUGCUUGCACUGAUCCGAUCGAGUGGCGGACGGGUGAGUAACGCGUGGGUAACCUGCCUCAUACAGGGGAAUAACAGUUGGAAAUGGCUGCUAAAACCGCAUAAGCGCACAGUAUCGCAUGAUACAGUGUGAAAAACUCCGGUGGUAUGAGAUGGACCCGCGUCUGAUUAGCUAGUUGGUGAGGUAACGGCCCACCAAGGCAACGAUCAGUAGCCGGCCUGAGAGGGUGAACGGCCACACUGGGACUGAGACACGGCCCAAACUCCUACGGGAGGCGGCAGUGGGGAAUAUUGCACAAUGGGGGAAACCCUGAUGCAGCGACGCCGCGUGAGUGAUGAAGUAUUUCGGUAUGUAAAGCUCUAUCAGCAGGGAAGAUAAUGACGGUACCUGACUAAGAAGCACCGGCUAAAUACGUGCCAGCAGCCGCCGUAA